Salvia miltiorrhiza (redroot sage) is the source of this 1626-nucleotide RNA transcript. RefSeq lists it as uncharacterized. The record is from RefSeq and is a predicted model, not a curated record. The transcript has 7 exons. NCBI's taxonomy places the organism in Eukaryota, Viridiplantae, Streptophyta, Magnoliopsida, Lamiales, Lamiaceae.
AAUGAAAUAAUUUUAAAUUAUCAUUUCAAAUUAUUUUAAGUAAACAUUAUUAGUAUAAUUUUUCAUUUAAAAAAACUGCAAAUCUGAAAAAAAGAAAAAAAAAACCAUAAAUUGAAAUCACUAAGGCCCUAACCCCCAAAUUGCUACCCCCUCUCUUCUUCCCUAACUGCAGUCAAGCCUGCCUCCAUCUCGCAGCCUGCCCCCAUCUCGCCACCGCGACCCGCACCGCCUGUGACGCUGCGCCACCCCAUCUCGCCGCCCCUGUCUACAUCACUAACCCUAGGCUCCGCGCUUCCCCUUCUCGCAGCCCCUGUCCUCGUCGCUAACCCUAGGCGCCGCGGUUUCCAUCUCGCCUGUCGUCUGCUAACCCUAGACGCGUUGCCUAGUCCCCGCUGCGCCACCUGCUCUCCGUCGCACCGCCUCCUUCAGCCUCGGCGUCUCCGUCAACAGACUCUGUAGCAGCAGUAGUUUCGAAGACCCAAUUUCCGCUGCAAUUAGAACCCAAUUUCCAAAUAUUUCCAUUUAUUUUGCGAAAUUAAUUAAGAUGAUAGGAAAUGGGCAGUUUACUUGAUCUUCGAAGGCGAUUCUUCUGAAAACUUGAUCAAUGGUUUUUAGGAUAAGCUGAAGGCGUUGAUAAGGCCUGGAGCUGGUGAAAAGACACCGACGGAGGGUGAUUAGGUUGACAGUGUUGUGAUAGUAGCUCGUGAAACUUCAUCUUUGGAGAAAUGAAAGCGAUUUAAUUCAUAUUGAUGCUUUCUGCAGGUUAUAUAUCAUUGUACAAUAUAGACACUAGAUGGGGUUGUUGUUGAGUCGACUCGAGCUGAUUUUGGAGGUAUUGGGCAAAAGCAAGAUCAUAGUGGGAUUGCUAGAAGGCAUUCCUACAAUGUUGAAAGGUGAAGUUGCAAUGGUAAGUUUUUUUAGAACUUGUUCUGGCUGAUUUCAUUUAUAACUUAAUGUGUAUUGCUUUAAUCUCUUUAUAUGCUCAUUUUCUUCAACUCCUAUGAUUGAUUAAUUGUUUCUUUUUCCUAGUGCAGAUUACCAAAUUCUUAUGGCAUACUUAGGAUAAAUUGAUUUGAGUUUACAUAUGAUUAUGCAGAUUACCAAAUUCAUUCACUUAUAUAUUUUCUUUAUCUCAAUCUAUAACUAUAUUCAUUCCCUAUAUUUUCUUGCUGAUUGGUGAAAUUGUUUUGGUAGGCAGACCAUAGUUCAGAUUCAGAUCAAUUCCAUCAUGUGUGCAUGUCUUAACUGAUGCUUCUCUUCAUAUGUUCAUGUAUUAACUGAAGCAGUUCGAGUUUCUCAAAAGGGCUUAUUUUUCAAGUUCAGAGCUUAUUUUUGCAAAGUAGAAUUCCAACUUAUGCAAGAAGAGGUGUUCAAGAAUUGAAAAGGCAAGUGAAUAAUUAAGAGGUGUUCAAGAACUGAAAAGGCAAGUGAAUUGUCGGAAGGACUCGUUAGAGAGCAGAAAGCAUACUAAGUCGAUGUUCAUAAUUUUAUUUUAGCUAUAAGAUAUUUGGUACUUUCAAUUUUCAAAAUAAUUGUAAUGAUGAUAUGUACUUGAUACUUGGUAUAUUCGGGUCAUAAUGUAUUAAUGUUUUGGAUGAUAUAUAUAUGUUAUUGAUGGUUUUAUUA